RNAcentral lists this ribosomal RNA (492 nucleotides) under uncultured bacterium. RNAcentral's name for it is "partial 16S ribosomal RNA". It matches the Rfam family "Bacterial small subunit ribosomal RNA", at positions 29 to 507 of the family's 1533-position model. The record is from RNAcentral.
AGUGAACGCUGGCGGUAGGCCUAACACAUGCAAGUCGAACGGCAGCACAGUAAGAGCUUGCUCUUACGGGUGGCGAGUGGCGGACGGGUGAGGAAUACAUCGUAAUCUACUUUUUCGUGGGGGAUAACGUAGGGAAACUUACGCUAAUACCGCAUACGACCUACGGGUGAAAGCAGGGGAUCUUCGGACCUUGCGCGAUUGAAUGAGCCGAUGUCGGAUUAGCUAGUUGGCGGGGUAAAGGCCCACCAAGGCGACGAUCCGUAGCUGGUCUGAGAGGAUGAUCAGCCACACUGGAACGGAGACACGGUCCAGACUACUACGGGAGGCAGCAGUGGGGAAUAUUGGACAAUGGGCGCAAGCCUGAUCCAGCCAUACCGCGUGGGUGAAGAAGGCCUUCGGGUUGUAAAGCCCUUUUGUUGGGAAAGAAAAGCAGCAGGUUAAUACCCCGCUGUUCUGACGGUACCCAAAGAAUAAGCACCGGCUAACUUCGUG